CCUACGGGUGGCAGCAGUGAGGAAUAUUGGUCAAUGGGCUUACGCCUGCACCAGCCAAGUCGCGUGAGGGAAGACUGCCCUAUGGGUUGUAAACCUCUUUUGUCAGGGAGCAACGCCGGCUACGUGUAGCCGGACUGAGAGUACCUGUAGCAAAAGCAUCGGCUAACUCCGUGCCAGCAGCCGCGGUAAUACGGAGGAUGCGAGCGUUAUCCGGAUUUAUUGGGUGUAAAGGGAGCGUAGACGGUUAUGUAAGUCUGUAGUGAAAGCCCGGGGCCCAACCCCGGGACUGCGUUGGAGACUGUGUAACUGGAGUACAGGAGGGGCAGGCGGAAUUCCUGGUGUAGCGGUGAAAGGCGUAGAUAUCAGGAGGAACACCGGCGGCGAAGGCGGCCUGCUGGACUGAAACUGACGUUGAGGCUCGAAAGCGUGGGGAGCAAACAGGAUUAGAUACCUUGUAGUC
Molecule: ribosomal RNA, 460 nt
Filed under: uncultured bacterium
Lineage: Bacteria
Description: partial 16S ribosomal RNA
Rfam family: Bacterial small subunit ribosomal RNA
Source: RNAcentral